Molecule: non-coding RNA, 695 nt
Organism: Castor canadensis (American beaver)
Lineage: Eukaryota; Metazoa; Chordata; Mammalia; Rodentia; Castoridae
Source: RefSeq, a predicted model, not a curated record
GAAAUGGUUAAGGAAAGCUGAUCCAGGCAAUCUGUGCUUCCUACUGGGUACUCUAAGUCCCUGAGAGGAGAAGAAACUGACUCAAGGGCCCACAACAAGAUGUCAGGCUUAGAAAAUAAGAGAUGGGCCAAGAAGCUACCAGAGGUGCACCUCAUUGUCCUGGAAGUUCAAGCAUGGUUGGGACCUUCUGGUCUCUUCUACAAGCUGGAGGGGAAGGCUCUAGCAGGAAUCCACAUGGGAAGAAGGAAGCCUGCCUGAGAGUGGGGCUGUGACCACAAUGGAGGGGGGAGUUCCAAAGAUGGCACCAGACUUCUACCUCAGCAACAAACGAGUAGACCCUCUUCCACAAUAAUGAUUCCUAGGGUAAUUUUCUUUUUUAAUAGUGACUUUUAAUACUGACUCCUCUGCUAAUUUUCCCUCCUCUCUACCAAAAGGCCCAGAGUUCAGUACAAGAAGCGCUGUACUCCCCAGGACUAAGGCAGCUCCCUCGGUGCAGAGAGGCCACUGCAGCAUGGUUCACCUGCCAUUUCUGUUGUUGUCUUUGGUUCAGACCAGUGGUUCCUUGCAUCACACUUCCACUGAGGAGUAUGUGGCAUGCAGUUCAGUGAUUGCCUGGGACAGGGUACCUGGUGCUCAGACUGCUCACAUGCCACCUGGACCUGGAUGAACAAAGAAUUAUAAACGAAAGUGUCUUC